This 399-nucleotide ribosomal RNA is filed under the name uncultured bacterium. RNAcentral describes it as "bacterial SSU rRNA". It matches the Rfam family "Bacterial small subunit ribosomal RNA", at positions 493 to 896 of the family's 1533-position model. The record is from RNAcentral.
ACGCUCGACAGUGCCAGCCGCCGCGGUAAUACGGAGGGUGCAAGCGUUAUCCGGAUUCACUGGGUUUAAAGGGUGCGUAGGUGGAGUGGUAAGUCAGUGGUGAAAUCUCCAAGCUUAACUUGGAAACUGCCGUUGAUACUAUCAUUCUUGAAUAUCGUGGAGGUAAGCGGAAUAUGUCAUGUAGCGGUGAAAUGCUUAGAUAUGACAUAGAACACCGAUUGCGAAGGCAGCUUGCUACACGAUCAUUGACACUGAGGCACGAAAGCGUGGGGAUCAAACAGGAUUAGAUACCCUGGUAGUCCACGCCCUAAACGAUGAUUACUCGACAUCAGCGAUACACUGUUGGUGUCUGAGCGAAAGCAUUAAGUAAUCCACCUGGGAAGUACGAUCGCAAGAUUG